CGGUACAUCGGUGACAGGUGGUGCAUGGUUGUCGUCAGCUCGUGUCGUGAGAUGUUGGGUUAAGUCCCGCAACGAGCGCAACCCCUACGUUUAGUUGCUAACGCGUGAAGGCGAGCACUCUAGACGAACUGCCGUUGACAAAACGGAGGAAGGUGGGAUGACGUCAAGUCAUCAUGCCCUUAUGUUCUGGGCUACACACGUGCUACAAUGGCCGGUACAGACGGACGCAAAGCCGCGAGGUGGAGCAAAUCCUAAAAAGCCGGUCUCAGUUCGGAUUGCAGGCUGCAAUUCGCCUGCAUGAAGUCGGAAUCGCUAGUAAUCGCAGGUCAGCAUACUGCGGUGAAUACGUUCCCGGGCCUU
RNAcentral lists this ribosomal RNA (360 nucleotides) under uncultured Pelotomaculum sp. RNAcentral's name for it is "bacterial SSU rRNA". It matches the Rfam family "Bacterial small subunit ribosomal RNA", at positions 1021 to 1382 of the family's 1533-position model. The record is from RNAcentral. Lineage: Bacteria; Bacillati; Bacillota; Clostridia; Eubacteriales; Desulfotomaculaceae.